UACGUAGGGUGCGAGCGUUGUCCGGAAUUACUGGGCGUAAAGGGCGCGUAGGCGGCGACUCAAGUUAGAUGUGAAAGUCCUGGGCUUAACCUGGGGACUGCAUUUGAUACUGGGUUGCUUGAAUUCGGGAGAGGAUAGCGGAAUUCCCAGUGUAGAGGUGAAAUUCGUAGAUAUUGGGAAGAACACCGGUGGCGAAGGCGGCUAUCUGGACCGACAUUGACGCUGAGGCGCGAAAGCGUGGGGAGCAAACAGG
This 253-nucleotide ribosomal RNA is filed under the name uncultured bacterium. Its description in RNAcentral is "partial 16S ribosomal RNA". It matches the Rfam family "Bacterial small subunit ribosomal RNA", at positions 524 to 776 of the family's 1533-position model. The record is from RNAcentral.